This 400-nucleotide ribosomal RNA is filed under the name uncultured bacterium. Its description in RNAcentral is "bacterial SSU rRNA". It matches the Rfam family "Bacterial small subunit ribosomal RNA", at positions 355 to 769 of the family's 1533-position model. The record is from RNAcentral.
UGGGGAAUUUUACACAAUGGGGGAAACCCUGAUGUAGCGACACCGCGUGAACGAAGAAGCCUUUUGGGGUGUAAAGUUCUGUCGGCUGGAACGAAAAAAAUGACGGUACCAGCAAAGGAAGCAUCGGCUAACUACGUGCCAGCAGCCGCGGUAAGACGUAGGAUGCAAGCGUUGUCCGGAUUUAUUGGGCGUAAAGAGUUCGUAGGCGGUUAUUUAAGUCUGGUGUUAAAUACUGUGGCCCAACCACAGAACUGCAUUGGAUACUGGAUGACUUGAGUGCGGUAGAGGCGAGUGGAAUUCCCAGUGUAGCGGUGAAAUGCGUAGAUAUUGGGAAGAACACCAGUGGCGUAAGCGACUCGCUGGCCCGUAACUGACGCUGAGGAACGAAAGCCAGGGGAGC